Molecule: ribosomal RNA, 468 nt
Filed under: uncultured bacterium
Lineage: Bacteria
Description: SSU rRNA
Rfam family: Bacterial small subunit ribosomal RNA
Source: RNAcentral
AGGAUAAACGCUGGCGGCGUGCCUAACACAUGCAAGUCGAACGCGCUUUCGGGCUUCGGUGCGAGAGCGAGUGGCGGACGGGUGAGUAACACAUGGGUACCUGCCUUUCAGUGAGGGAUACCGGCGAGAAAUCGCCGACAAUACCGCAUGGGCUUGUGGGAACACAAGCAAAGUGGCGCAAGCCACGCUGGAAGAUGGGCCUGUGGCCGAUUAGCUAGUUGGGGGGGUAAUGGCCUCCCAAGGCGACGAUCGGUAGCUGGUCUGAGAGGACGAUCAGCCACACUGGGAUUGAGAACGGCCCAGACUCCUACGGGGGCAGCAGUGAGGAAUUUUCCGCAAUGGACGAAAGUCUGACGGAGCAACGCCGCGUGCAGGAGGAAGGUUUCGGAUCGUAAACUGCUUUUCGUCGGGUACGAGCAAGGACGGUACCCGAGGAAGAAGCCCGGCUAACUACGCGCCAGCAGCCGC